AGUUCAAGAGUACGUGAAACCGUUUAGGGGUAAACCUGAGAAACCCGAAAGGUCGAAGGGAGAAAUUCAUUCGCGUUUCGACGCAGGCGUGGGACGGAGUCCCGAGCGACGGAACGCCCGUUCUUCGCGGAACGGGAUAGUUUCGCGCCCUCCGUCCUUCGAACCGGCGGCGAACGCGUGCACUUUUCUCCUGGUAGGACGUCGCGAUCCGUCGGGUGUCGGUCUACGACUUGCGGUGGAGCCCGCCCGUCUCGUCUUAGUACGUGCGGACGGACCCGCUCGUUCCGGCCGACUCGCUCGACGGUAUACCUAAGGUCGGAGGUCGCUCGUUUUUUUUUAUCAAAGGAGCGUUCGACUCGUCGCAAGCGCGCCACGUGCGUCGGCACGCGGACUUCGUGCCGCGUCCGACCUCUGGCGACUGUUGGCGACGAAGUUCUCGGACAGACCUCUUUUUGUGUUAUUAUCUCUUUCGCGGAGAUGGUAUCACAUCAUAAAGACCGAUCGGCGACGCUAUAGCUUUGGGUACUUUCAGGACCCGUCUUGAAACACGGACCAAGGAGUCUAGCAUGUACGCGAGUCAUUGGGAAUUUCACUAAACCUAAAGGCGUAAUGAAAGUGAAGGUCUUCCUCGCGAAGACCGAGGGAAGACGGACGAUCGUUUGCAAUAUCCGAUCGGUCCUGCAUUCCCGGGGCGUCUCGUUCUCACAGAGCGUGAAGAGGCGCACCAAGAGCGUACACGCUGGGACCCGAAAGAUGGUGAACUAUGCCUGGUCAGGACGAAGUCAGGGGAAACCCUGAUGGAGGUCCGUAGCGAUU
Molecule: ribosomal RNA, 816 nt
Filed under: Xyleborus sp. 110 AIC-2011
Lineage: Eukaryota; Metazoa; Arthropoda; Insecta; Coleoptera; Curculionidae
Description: eukaryotic LSU rRNA
Rfam family: Eukaryotic large subunit ribosomal RNA
Source: RNAcentral